GCACGAGAAAGGGACUUCGGUCCUGAGUACAGUGGCGCACGGGUGAGUAACACGUGAAUCAUCUACCUCCGAGUGGGGAAUAACUGAGAGAAAUCUUAGCUAAUACCGCAUAACACUUACGAGUCAAAGCAGCAAUGCGCUUGGAGAGGAGUUCGCGGCAGAUUAGUUAGUUGGCGGGGUAAUGGCCCACCAAGACGAUGAUCUGUAUCCGGCCUGAGAGGGCGCACGGACACACUGGAACUGAAACACGGUCCAGACUCCUACGGGAGGCAGCAGUGGGGAAUUUUGCGCAAUGGGGGAAACCCUGACGCAGCAACGCCGCGUGGAGGAUGAAAUCCCUUGGGAUGUAAACUCCUUUCGAUAGGGAAGAUAAUGACGGUACCUAUAGAAGAAGCCCCGGCUAACUUCGUGCCAGCAGCCGCGGUAAUACGAGGGGGGCAAGCGUUGUUCGGAAUUAUUGGGCGUAAAGGGUGCGUAGGCGGUUUGACAAGUCUUAUGUGAAAUCUUCGGGCUCAACCCGAAGUCUGCAUGGGAAACUGUCGGGCUUGAGUAUGGGAGAGGUGAGUGGAAUUUCCGGUGUAGCGGUGAAAUGCGUAGAUAUCGGAAGGAACACCUGUGGCGAAAGCGGCUCACUGGACCAUAACUGACGCUGAUGCACGAAAGCUAGGGGA
Molecule: ribosomal RNA, 671 nt
Filed under: uncultured bacterium
Lineage: Bacteria
Description: bacterial SSU rRNA
Rfam family: Bacterial small subunit ribosomal RNA
Source: RNAcentral